This 493-nucleotide ribosomal RNA is filed under the name uncultured bacterium. RNAcentral describes it as "partial 16S ribosomal RNA". It matches the Rfam family "Bacterial small subunit ribosomal RNA", at positions 30 to 523 of the family's 1533-position model. The record is from RNAcentral.
AUUGAACGCUGGCGGCAUGCUUUACACAUGCAAGUCGAACGGUAACAGGUUAAGCUGACGAGUGGCGAACGGGUGAGUAAUGCAUCGGAACGUGCCCGAUCGUGUGGGAUAACGCAGCGAAAGCUGCGCUAAUACCGCAUACGAUCUGAGGAUGAAAGCGGGGGACCGUAAGGCCUCGCGCGAUCGGAGCGGCCGAUGUCAGAUUAGGUAGUUGGUGGGGUAAAGGCCCACCAAGCCGACGAUCUGUAGCUGGUCUGAGAGGACGACCAGCCACACUGGGACUGAGACACGGCCCAGACUCCUACGGGAGGCAGCAGUGGGGAAUUUUGGACAAUGGGCGAAAGCCUGAUCCAGCAAUGCCGCGUGCAGGAAGAAGGCCUUCGGGUUGUAAACUGCUUUUGUACGGAGCGAAAAGGUCCUUUCUAAUACAGGGGGCUCAUGACGGUACCGUAAGAAUAAGCACCGGCUAACUACGUGCCAGCAGCCGCCGUAA